Molecule: ribosomal RNA, 493 nt
Filed under: uncultured bacterium
Lineage: Bacteria
Description: partial 16S ribosomal RNA
Rfam family: Bacterial small subunit ribosomal RNA
Source: RNAcentral
AUUGAACGCUGGCGGCAUGCUUUACACAUGCAAGUCGAACGGUAACAGGUUAAGCUGACGAGUGGCGAACGGGUGCGUAAUGCAUCGGAACGUGCCCGAUCGUGGGGGCUAACGCAGCGAAAGCUGCGCUAACACCGCAUACGAUCUGAGGAUGAAAGCGGGGGACCGUAAGGCCUCGCGCGAUCGGAGCGGCCGAUGUCAGAUUAGGUAGUUGGUGGGGUAAAGGCUCACCAAGCCAACGAUCUGUAGCUGGUCUGAGAGGACGACCAGCCACACCGGGACUGAGACACGGCCCAGACUCCUACGGGAGGCAGCAGUGGGGAAUUUUGGACAAUGGGCGAAAGCCUGAUCCAGCAAUGCCGCGUGCAGGAAGAAGGCCUUCGGGUUGUAAACUGCUUUUGUACGGAGCGAAAAGGCUCUCUCUAAUACAGGGGGCUCAUGACGGUACCGUAAGAAUAAGCACCGGCUAACUACGUGCCAGCCGCCGCUGUAA